CCCGCCCAUCCGUCACCUGACUCGGACGACUACCGGGAUCCGCGGCGCUCCGCCUGCCGGUCGGGGUGCUUCUCGUGUUCCUGCUCCCGUCCCCCGUCCUUAUUCUUCACGCCCUUUGACGGGAGUCUUCCAGGUCUCCACGUAAGAUUAUUUAAAAGAGAAAAAGAAAGAAAGAAGAGCAAGGCCCUCUCUUUGCUCCAUCGGCCAAUCAGGAGCUGGACGUCAGUUUUGAAUGAAAAUGCCGCUUCGCUUCGCUUCUAGAUUUGGGAAACAGGCGAUAUGAAAAGAAACCGGUGUCCGCAACCGACGCGACAUCUGGACACUGCAAGGCGCUGGCGCGGUUGACGCUGCAGGCCGGGCGCCCGACCAGGUGAGAAGACUGAGGCCCAGAAAGACUCAAAUAUUGGACACUACAUGGCUAGCAGGGGAUCGAACUUGGGUCUUUGUGCUUGCAAGGCAGGUGGCGGCACCACUGAGCUAAAUCCCGGCAAGUCUACAUUAUAUAUUGUCAGUAUAAAAUAAAAAAGAGGUGGAAUACUUUUUGUACAUAUGUUCUACCUGUUCUGAAACCUCACAUCACUUUACAAGCUUACAAGGAAAUUCUUGGGAAGUAAAAUAUUAUUCAAGGAACUAAACCCUACAGGUAUAAAUUGACCUACUUGUUCAUGCAGGACUGAUGAAUGAUUCUCUAUAGCCCCUUUGUAGUUUUUCUAAAAUUAGUUGUUAGUACUAACUGCAAACUUAGCAGUUACUGAUAAGAGUAUAGGAUUCUUUAUUUCCAAUAUAGUGUCAAUGUAUUUGAAAAUCUCACAAUGGAGAGAAUUCCAUAAGAUGUUUAGGACUGUAGCUUCAGAAAAUGCCCAGUUUAUUGUCUGAAUUAUGCCCUAAUUUUAUUUCCUAAUGUUCUAUAAAUGCAAUAUACCCAUAAAACCAACUUUGAGAAAAAACUA
Molecule: long non-coding RNA, 950 nt
Organism: Fukomys damarensis (Damara mole-rat)
Lineage: Eukaryota; Metazoa; Chordata; Mammalia; Rodentia; Bathyergidae
Exons: 3
Source: RefSeq, a predicted model, not a curated record